CGAACGAUGAAACUUAGUAGACUUCUUCGGAAAGACACUAAGCGGAUUAGUGGCGAACGGGUGAGUAACGCGUGAGUAACCUGCCUUACACAAGGGGAUAGCCUUUGGAAACGAAGAAUAAUACCCUAUAAAACCAUAAAAGCACAUGCUAGAAUGGUCAAAGUGAUAGCGGUGUAAGAUGGACUUGCGUCUGAUUAGCUAGUUGGUGAGAUAAAAGCUCACCAAGGCAACGAUCAGUAGCCGGCUUGAGAGAGUGUACGGCCACAUUGGGACUGAGACACGGCCCAGACUCCUACGGGAGGCAGCAGUGGGGAAUUUUGCACAAUGGGGGAAACCCUGAUGCAGCGACGCCGCGUGAUUUAGAAGGCCUUCGGGUUGUAAAAAUCUUUUGUAUAGGAAGAAAAUGACAGUACUAUACGAAUAAGGUCCGGCUAAUUACGUGCCAGCAGCCGCGGUAAUACGUAAGGACCGAGCGUUGUCCGGAAUCAUUGGGCGUAAAGGGUACGUAGGCGGCUAGAAAAGUUAGAAGUCAAAGGCUAUAGCUCAACUAUAGUAAGCUUCUAAAACUAUUUAGCUUGAGAAAUGGAAGGGAAAGUGGAAUUCCUAGUGUAGCGGUGGAAUGCGCAGAUAUUAGGAAGAAUACCGGUGGCGAAGGCGACUUUCU
This 664-nucleotide ribosomal RNA is filed under the name uncultured Eubacteriales bacterium. Its description in RNAcentral is "bacterial SSU rRNA". It matches the Rfam family "Bacterial small subunit ribosomal RNA", at positions 63 to 730 of the family's 1533-position model. The record is from RNAcentral. Lineage: Bacteria; Bacillati; Bacillota; Clostridia; Eubacteriales.